The sequence is a transfer RNA, 73 nucleotides long. It matches the Rfam family "tRNA". Rfam says of the family: Transfer RNA (tRNA) molecules are approximately 80 nucleotides in length. The record is from Rfam.
GCCUAAAUAGCUCAGUUGGUAGAGCAGCGCAUUCGUAAUGCGAAGGUCGCGGGUUCGACUCCUGUUUUAGGCA